Molecule: ribosomal RNA, 1177 nt
Filed under: Enterobacter cloacae
Lineage: Bacteria; Pseudomonadati; Pseudomonadota; Gammaproteobacteria; Enterobacterales; Enterobacteriaceae
Description: bacterial LSU rRNA
Rfam family: Bacterial large subunit ribosomal RNA
Source: RNAcentral
GGGUUGUGAGGUUAAGCGACUAAGCGUACACGGUGGAUGCCCUGGCAGUCAGAGGCGAUGAAGGACGUGCUAAUCUGCGAAAAGCGCCGGCGAGGUGAUAUGAACCUUUGACCCGGCGAUGUCCGAAUGGGGAAACCCAGUGUGUUCCGACACACUAUCGUUAACUGAAUACAUAGGUUAACGAGGCGAACCGGGGGAACUGAAACAUCUAAGUACCCCGAGGAAAAGAAAUCAACCGAGAUUCCCCCAGUAGCGGCGAGCGAACGGGGAGCAGCCCGGAGUCUGAAUCAGCUUGUGUGUUAGUGGAACGGUCUGGAAAGUCCGACGGUACAGGGUGAUAGUCCCGUACACGAAAACACACUUGCUGUGAACUCGAAGAGUAGGGCGGGACACGUGGUAUCCUGUCUGAAUAUGGGGGGACCAUCCUCCAAGGCUAAAUACUCCUGACUGACCGAUAGUGAACCAGUACCGUGAGGGAAAGGCGAAAAGAACCCCGGCGAGGGGAGUGAAAAAGAACCUGAAACCGUGUACGUACAAGCAGUGGGAGCCUCUUUAUGGGGUGACUGCGUACCUUUUGUAUAAUGGGUCAGCGACUUAUAUUCUGUAGCAAGGUUAACCGUAUAGGGGAGCCGAAGGGAAACCGAGUCUUAACUGGGCGUUAAGUUGCAGGGUAUAGACCCGAAACCCGGUGAUCUAGCCAUGGGCAGGUUGAAGGUUGGGUAACACUAACUGGAGGACCGAACCGACUAAUGUUGAAAAAUUAGCGGAUGACCUGUGGCUGGGGGUGAAAGGCCAAUCAAACCGGGAGAUAGCUGGUUCUCCCCGAAAGCUAUUUAGGUAGCGCCUCGUGAACUCAUCUUCGGGGGUAGAGCACUGUUUCGGCUAGGGGGCCAUCCCGGCUUACCAACCCGAUGCAAACUACGAAUACCGAAGAAUGUUAUCACGGGAGACACACGGCGGGUGCUAACGUCCGUCGUGAAGAGGGAAACAACCCAGACCGCCAGCUAAGGUCCCAAAGUCAUGGUUAAGUGGGAAACGAUGUGGGAAGGCACAGACAGCCAGGAUGUUGGCUUAGAAGCAGCCAUCAUUUAAAGAAAGCGUAAUAGCUCACUGGUCGAGUCGGCCUGCGCGGAAGAUGUAACGGGGCUAAACCAUGCACCGAAGCUGCGGCAGCGAC